GUGGGGAAUCUUGCGCAAUGGGCGAAAGCCUGACGCAGCCAUGCCGCGUGGAUGAUGAAGGUCUUAGGAUUGUAAAAUCCUUUCACCGGUGAAGAUAAUGACUGUAGCCGGAGAAGAAGCUCCGGCUAACUUCGUGCCAGCAGCCGCGGUAAUACGAAGGGGGCUAGCGUUGCUCGGAAUUACUGGGCGUAAAGGGCGCGUAGGCGGACAGCUUAGUCAGAGGUGAAAGCCCAGGGCUCAACCUUGGAAUUGCCUUUGAUACUGACUGUCUUGAGUUUGGGAGAGGUGAGUGGAACUCCGAGUGUAGAGGUGAAAUUCGUAGAUAUUCGGAAGAACACCAGUGGCGAAGGCGACUCACUGGCCCAAUACUGACGCUGAGGCGCGAAAGCGUGGGGAGCAAACAGGAUUAGAAACCCCAGUAGUCC
RNAcentral lists this ribosomal RNA (425 nucleotides) under uncultured bacterium. Its description in RNAcentral is "partial 16S ribosomal RNA". It matches the Rfam family "Bacterial small subunit ribosomal RNA", at positions 354 to 796 of the family's 1533-position model. The record is from RNAcentral.